Molecule: ribosomal RNA, 253 nt
Filed under: uncultured bacterium
Lineage: Bacteria
Description: partial 16S ribosomal RNA
Rfam family: Bacterial small subunit ribosomal RNA
Source: RNAcentral
UACAGAGGGGGCAAGCGUUAUUCGGAAUUAUUGGGCGUGAAGGGCGCGUAGGCGGCUUGGCAAGUGGAAGGUGAAAUCCCUCGGCUUAACCGAGGAACUGCCCUCCAAACUGCUUCGCUUGAGACCGGGAGAGGUGAGUGGAAUUCCCAGUGUAGCGGUGAAAUGCGUAGAUAUUGGGAGGAACACCAGUGGCGAAGGCGGCUCACUGGACCGGUAUUGACGCUGAUGCGCGAAAGCGUGGGGAGCAAACGGG